Ictalurus punctatus (channel catfish) is the source of this 2103-nucleotide long non-coding RNA. NCBI's taxonomy places the organism in Eukaryota, Metazoa, Chordata, Actinopteri, Siluriformes, Ictaluridae. The record is from Ensembl.
GGCCCUUUGUAUGACUAAUCACUCUCCUUUGGUUAUCUCACACUCUUAUACACUGUAAUAGUCAGCCUCUCCACAUCACUUUCCUCGGCUAAGGCGCCGCGCUGUGCUCUCACACACCGACUCCUGAGAAUAUUCCACUUACGCAAAGACGAGAUUAUUCAUAUAGAUUCACGCUUCUUCCAGAUGGACGUCUGCACGAUGCGAUACACAUGGGCGGCUCUCUGCAUCGCCGUGUUAGCCAUGUCAGUUUCAGUGAAAUCUGAGGAGGCUCCGAAUGCUUUAGUGACUUACGAGCUCACCAUGGACAUCACCAACCGCAUCUACAACAGCUCUCUACUCAAGUCCAACUCUUCUGAUUAUGCGAUCUUGUACAAACAAGUUACUGACAUGCUCAACUCCAUCUACGGCUGUGCCACGUGUAAAACACACGUGUUUUAUGGCAAUGUGUCAGCGAUGACCUUCAGCAAUCAAACUGGAACCGUGCUCGUAAAGGCUAGUCUCGUGUUCCAGUCAAACAAAACCAACGCUGAUGAGAUCAAAGGGCUGUUUAUGAACGCGACCGCUGCCGAUAAGGAAAUAAACGGCCUUAAAGUCAACCCUAAUUUCACACAAGUUUCAGUGAAAUCUGAGGAGGCUCCGAAUGCUUUAGUGACUUACGAGCUCACCAUGGACAUCACCAACCGCAUCUACAACAGCUCUCUACUCAAGUCCAACUCUUCUGAUUAUGCGAUCUUGUACAAACAAGUUACUGACAUGCUCAACUCCAUCUACGGCUGUGCCACGUGUAAAACACACGUGUUUUAUGUCAAUGUGUCAGCGAUGACCUUCAGCAAUCAAACUGGAACUGUGCUCGUAAAGGCUAGUCUCGUGUUCCAGUCAAACAAAACCAACGCUGAUGAGAUCAAAGGGCUGUUUAUGAACGCGACCGCUGCCGAUAAGGAAAUAAACGGCCUUAAAGUCAACCCUAAUUUCACACAAGUUUCAGUGAAAUCUGAGGAGGCUCCGAAUGCUUUAGUGACUUACGAGCUCACCAUGGACAUCACCAACCGCAUCUACAACAGCUCUCUACUCAAGUCCAACUCUUCUGAUUAUGCGAUCUUGUACAAACAAGUUACUGACAUGCUCAACUCCAUCUACGGCUGUGCCACGUGUAAAACACACGUGUUUUAUGGCAAUGUGUCAGCGAUGACCUUCAGCAAUCAAACUGGAACCGUGCUCGUAAAGGCUAGUCUCGUGUUCCAGUCAAACAAAACCAACGCUGAUGAGAUCAAAGGGCUGUUUAUGAACGCGACCGCUGGCGAUAAGGAAAUAAACGGCCUUAAAGUCAACCCUAAUUUCACACAAGUUUCAGUGAAAUCUGAGGAGGCUCCGAAUGCUUUAGUGACUUACGAGCUCACCAUGGACAUCACCAACCGCAUCUACAACAGCUCUCUACUCAAGUCCAACUCUUCUGAUUAUGCGAUCUUGUACAAACAAGUUACUGACAUGUUCAACUCCAUCUACGGCUGUGCCACGUGUAAAACACACAUGUUUUAUGGCAAUGUGUCAGCGAUGACCUUCAGCAAUCAAACUGGAACCGUGCUCGUAAAGGCUAGUCUCGUGUUCCAGUCAAACAAAACCAACGCUGAUGAGAUCAAAGAGCUGUUUAUGAACGCGACCGCUGGCGAUAAGGAAAUAAACGGCCUUAAAGUCAACCCUAAUUUCACACAAGUCAUAGCACCACCGUCCACCCCUGCACCAACUGUCUCCAGCACUUCCCAUACAACCAAGUCUCCACUUCUUGCAACUACACACUACAACACCGCCUCGUCCUUUAAUCAAAGUCCCAUUGCUCUGACGUCAAUUCUCCGCUAUACUGUUUCGUUCUGCCUGCUUUACUUCCUCAGCUAUUCUUUUUAAUUGUGUAAACCUGCCACUAGGGGCAGUGCAACAUCUUUAUAUAAUGAAAUACGUUAAUCUACAGGGUGUACCAACAAUCUCCUUACAUAGUGGACUAUGUUCACCAGCAUCACGUCGGUUGUGUCUUUAUGAGUGGAUGUUGGUGAAUGUCCACUUCUCGGUCUGCAACACUUAUAUAUAUAUAUAUAUAUAUAUAUAUAUAUA